GAAUGGUGUGUGUGAGGCUUAUAGUGU
Molecule: non-coding RNA, 27 nt
Filed under: Homo sapiens (human)
Lineage: Eukaryota; Metazoa; Chordata; Mammalia; Primates; Hominidae
Source: RNAcentral